RNAcentral lists this ribosomal RNA (448 nucleotides) under uncultured bacterium. RNAcentral's name for it is "bacterial SSU rRNA". It matches the Rfam family "Bacterial small subunit ribosomal RNA", at positions 29 to 524 of the family's 1533-position model. The record is from RNAcentral.
AACGAACGCUGGCGGCAGGCCUAACACAUGCAAGUCGAGCGCCCAGCAAUGGGAGCGGCAGACGGGUGAGUAACACGUGGGAACCUUCCCUAUAGUACGGAAUAGCCCAGGGAAACUUGGAGUAAUACCGCAUACGCCCGAGAGGGGAAAGAUUUAUCGCUAUAGGAUGGGCCCGCGUAGGAUUAGCUAGUUGGUGAGGUAAUGGCUCACCAAGGCGACGAUCCUUAGCUGGUCUGAGAGGACGACCAGCCACACUGGGACUGAGACACGGCCCAGACUCCUACGGGAGGCAGCAGUGGGGAAUAUUGGACAAUGGGCGCAAGCCUGAUCCAGCCAUGCCGCGUGAGUGAUGAAGGCCUUAGGGUUGUAAAGCUCUUUUGCCGGGGACGAUAAUGACGGUACCCGGAGAAUAAGUCCCGGCUAACUUCGUGCCAGCAGCCGCGGUAAU